CGGGUUGUGGCUCAGCUUGGUAGAGCGCUGCGUUCGGGACGCAGAAGUCGCUGGUUCGAAUCCAGUCAACCCGACCA
This 77-nucleotide transfer RNA is filed under the name Coriobacteriaceae bacterium. Its description in RNAcentral is "tRNA-Pro". It matches the Rfam family "tRNA". Rfam says of the family: Transfer RNA (tRNA) molecules are approximately 80 nucleotides in length. RNAcentral also lists the same sequence under 5 other names. The record is from RNAcentral. Lineage: Bacteria; Bacillati; Actinomycetota; Coriobacteriia; Coriobacteriales; Coriobacteriaceae.